This 616-nucleotide ribosomal RNA is filed under the name Desmanthus virgatus. RNAcentral's name for it is "eukaryotic LSU rRNA". The stretch from base 245 to 400 matches the Rfam family "5.8S ribosomal RNA". The record is from RNAcentral. Lineage: Eukaryota; Viridiplantae; Streptophyta; Magnoliopsida; Fabales; Fabaceae.
UCGAUGCCCCUCAGGAAGAGAGACCCGCGAACCGGUUGGCAGAAUUGCCGGGCGGGGAUGGCGCCUCCGCGGAGGCCCCGCCCCUCCCGCGCGCCGGGGCCGCGGCCUCGCCGCCCCCGGCUCCAACAACCAAUCCCGGCGCCCCAGGCGCCAAGGAAAAGCAACAAAGCAAGCGCGCCGCUGGCUGGCCCGGUUACGGCGCCAGUGACCCAGCGUCGCGCCUUAUGCCAUUUGCAUCCAGAACGACUCUCGGCAACGGAUAUCUCGGCUCUCGCAUCGAUGAAGAACGUAGCGAAAUGCGAUACUUGGUGUGAAUUGCAGAAUCCCGUGAACCAUCGAGUCUUUGAACGCAAGUUGCGCCCGAAGCCAUUAGGCCGAGGGCACGUCUGCCUGGGUGUCACGCAACGUCGCCACCGCCCCCGCCCGGGGCGUGGCGGAUGAUGGCUUCCCGGGAGCCCCGUCUCCCGGCCAGCCGAAAAAGGGGCCCAACGUGACGACAGCCACGAUCCACGGUGGAUGAGUGAGCUACGUGCGCUCGAGACCGGACGUGCGCCCGUCGUUCCACGCUAGGGGCCCGACGUGCGGGGCCUCCGACAGGAGCGCCCCCGACUCGCAC